Molecule: ribosomal RNA, 243 nt
Filed under: uncultured bacterium
Lineage: Bacteria
Description: partial 16S ribosomal RNA
Rfam family: Bacterial small subunit ribosomal RNA
Source: RNAcentral
GUCCACGCCGUAAACGAUGAUAACUCGGUGCUGGCGAUAUACGGUCAGUGCCCAAGCGAAAGUGAUAAGUUAUCCACCUGGGGAGUACGAUCGCAAGGUUGAAACUCAAAGGAAUUGACGGGGGCCCGCACAAGCGGUGGAGCAUGUGGUUUAAUUCGAUGAUACGCGAGGAACCUUACCUGGGCUUAAAUGCAUAAUGACAGACUGGGAAACCAGUCCUUCUUCGGACAGAAUGCAAGGUGC